CAAAGAGGGUCGACCUGCAAACUUGCAAGGUCCCGGUCUAGAUCCCGCUCAAGGUCCCGAGGAAGAAGGUAUUCUCGGUCACGCAGUCGGAGUCGUGGUAGGAGGUCCAGGUCAGCUUCCUAUCGUAGGUCUCGGUCCGUUUCCCCUCGUAGGUCUAGGUCUGUGUCUCCCCGCCGGUCCCGAUCGGGUUCCUUGAAGAGAUCAAGGUCUAGAUCAAGAUCCAGAUCUAGAUCCAGAUCUGUUACGUGGCCCCGAAGCAGGUCUAGGUCUCAUGGCAGAUCAAAAUCUGGCUCACUAGCUAAGAGUCAGUCAAAGUCCCGAUCACCAUCUCCAAAAAGAAGUCAUUCACCAUCAGGAAGCCCCCAAAGAAGUGCAAGUCCUGAAAGAAUGGAUUAAAGUUAUGAAGCUAAUCUUUUAGGAAGAAAGUUAUUUUGCUUACAUUAUUAUAAGGGAUUUUGUGGUGUCUUUGUAAAUGUAAGAGUGUAGAUAGAAGAGUAUAUCAGCUGAAAUUUGGCAUGAUCUGGGUCUUCUGAGUUAGUCACACCAACAGACUAGCACAGGUCUCUUUUUAUUGUAUGAAUUAACUUCCUGUGAUAUGAAAAUGUGGGACUUUUUUUAUUGGCACAUUGAAAUAAAAUGUGUAUUUUUAACUAAAACUUCUCUGUA
RNAcentral lists this long non-coding RNA (666 nucleotides) under Athene cunicularia (burrowing owl). Its description in RNAcentral is "lncRNA (ENSACUG00000012799.1)". Lineage: Eukaryota; Metazoa; Chordata; Aves; Strigiformes; Strigidae. The record is from RNAcentral.